ACAGAGGGGGCAAGCGUUGCUCGGAAUCACUGGGCGUAAAGGGCGCGUAGGCGGCAUGCCAGGCGUGUGGUGAAAGCCCGGGGCUCAACCCCGGGUCGGCCGUGCGGACUGGCGUGCUCGAGCACUGUAGGGGCGGGUGGAAUUCCGGGUGUAGCGGUGGAAUGCGUAGAGAUCCGGAAGAACACCGGUGGCGAAGGCGGCCCGCUGGGCAGGAAGGCUCGCAAGAGCCGGCUGACGCUGAGGCGCGACAGCGUGGGGAGCAAACAGGA
Molecule: ribosomal RNA, 269 nt
Filed under: uncultured prokaryote
Description: partial 16S ribosomal RNA
Rfam family: Bacterial small subunit ribosomal RNA
Source: RNAcentral